RNAcentral lists this ribosomal RNA (467 nucleotides) under uncultured bacterium. RNAcentral describes it as "partial 16S ribosomal RNA". It matches the Rfam family "Bacterial small subunit ribosomal RNA", at positions 28 to 506 of the family's 1533-position model. The record is from RNAcentral.
GACGAACGCUGGCGGCGUGCUUAACACAUGCAAGUCGAACGGAAGGGCCCUGCUUUUGUGGGGUGCUCGAGUGGCGAACGGGUGAGUAACACGUGAGUAACCUGCCCUUGACUUUGGGAUAACUUCAGGAAACUGGGGCUAAUACCGGAUAGGAGCUCCUGCUGCAUGGUGGGGGUUGGAAAGUUUCGGCGGUUGGGGAUGGACUCGCGGCUUAUCAGCUUGUUGGUGGGGUAGUGGCUUACCAAGGCUUUGACGGGUAGCCGGCCUGAGAGGGUGACCGGCCACAUUGGGACUGAGAUACGGCCCAGACUCCUACGGGAGGCAGCAGUGGGGAAUAUUGCACAAUGGGCGGAAGCCGGAGGCAGCAACGCCGCGUGCGGGAGGACGGCCUUCGGGUGGUAAACCGCUUUCGCCUGUGACGAAGCGUGAGUGACGGUAAUGGGUAAAGAAGCACCGGCUAACUACGU